This 394-nucleotide ribosomal RNA is filed under the name uncultured bacterium. Its description in RNAcentral is "bacterial SSU rRNA". It matches the Rfam family "Bacterial small subunit ribosomal RNA", at positions 30 to 424 of the family's 1533-position model. The record is from RNAcentral.
AUUGAACGCUGGCGGCAUGCUUUACACAUGCAAGUCGAACGGUAACAGGGAGCUUGCUCCGCUGACGAGUGGCGAACGGGUGAGUAAUGCAUCGGAACGUACCGUGUAAUGGGGGAUAACGUAGCGAAAGUUACGCUAAUACCGCAUACGCCCUGAGGGGGAAAGUGGGGGACCGCAAGGCCUCACGUUAUACGAGCGGCCGAUGUCGGAUUAGCUAGUUGGAGGGGUAAAGGCCUACCAAGGCGACGAUCCGUAGCGGGUCUGAGAGGAUGAUCCGCCACACUGGGACUGAGACACGGCCCAGACUCCUACGGGAGGCAGCAGUGGGGAAUUUUGGACAAUGGGCGCAAGCCUGAUCCAGCCAUGCCGCGUGAGUGAAGAAGGCCUUCGGGUU